RNAcentral lists this unclassified non-coding RNA (250 nucleotides) under Arabidopsis thaliana (thale cress). Lineage: Eukaryota; Viridiplantae; Streptophyta; Magnoliopsida; Brassicales; Brassicaceae. The record is from RNAcentral.
AAGACAAUGCCACAUACAAACUUGAAAGAUCUCUUCAUCUUUUCUCCAAAUGUUUUUUUUUCGUUUGCUAUUUAUCUCCACAAUUCUUGGAACAAAAACUACAUUCACAAACGAGAGAAUUUUCACAACACCUCUUUUGCUCUCAUUUUUUUUUUUUCGUCCAUUAUGAGUAUUAAUUAUGGUUAGGGAAUCUUACAGAAUGAAAAUGAAGGUGUGAAUGGAUUGUCUCAUCUAAAGCCUUGAAUGUGGG